This is a small nuclear RNA of Zalophus californianus (California sea lion), 105 nucleotides long. The record is from Ensembl. NCBI's taxonomy places the organism in Eukaryota, Metazoa, Chordata, Mammalia, Carnivora, Otariidae.
GUUUGUUUCAGCAGCACAUAUACUAAAAAUUGGAAUGAGACAAAGAAAGUUAGCAUGGUCCCUGCAUGGGGACCCUGGCAAAUUCAUAAAGUGGUCUAUAUUUUU